This 256-nucleotide long non-coding RNA is filed under the name Setaria italica (foxtail millet). RNAcentral's name for it is "long non-coding RNA (SITA_LNC000358)". Lineage: Eukaryota; Viridiplantae; Streptophyta; Magnoliopsida; Poales; Poaceae. The record is from RNAcentral.
AUCGGUAGCCUUUUACCAAUGAGGAAUCGGCCGAUUAGGAGGAUGGGUUAAUUGGGCCUGCAUGGGCUUGGAAAGGAAUAAAGGGAUGAGGUGGAGAUCAGCCCAUGAAGCGUGGAGUAACCAACCUAGCACGAAUCGUGCUUGUAGAUAUUCGUUUUCUGUUUGAAUUAGGGAUAGAAUUCUAGUCGGUUAAGAAGUUAUCUGUACGGGGCUAUAAAUAGCUACCUUUGUAAAUCUGUAAUCAUCAACCAAUCAA